This 253-nucleotide ribosomal RNA is filed under the name uncultured bacterium. Its description in RNAcentral is "partial 16S ribosomal RNA". It matches the Rfam family "Bacterial small subunit ribosomal RNA", at positions 524 to 776 of the family's 1533-position model. The record is from RNAcentral.
UACGUAGGGGGCAAGCGUUGUCCGGAUUUAUUGGGCGUAAAGAGCGUGUAGGCGGCUUGCCAAGUCUGCUGUGAAAACUCGAGGCUCAACCUCGAGAUGUCGGCGGAAACUGUCUGGCUAGAGUCCGGAAGAGGAGAGUGGAAUUCCUGGUGUAGCGGUGAAAUGCGCAGAUAUCAGGAAGAACACCUAUGGCGAAGGCAGCUCUCUGGGACGGUACUGACGCUGAGACGCGAAAGCGUGGGGAGCGAACAGG